Molecule: small nuclear RNA, 22 nt
Filed under: Arabidopsis thaliana (thale cress)
Lineage: Eukaryota; Viridiplantae; Streptophyta; Magnoliopsida; Brassicales; Brassicaceae
Description: snRNA_04330
Source: RNAcentral
ACUUCACAUGUGGCCAUUUUAU